GGGGAAUUAUCAUAUAGUCUGAACUACUCAUAAAAUUGAGUAUUUUCUUAUAUAAUGAAACAUGAAAUUAUGUUUAGAAUUCUGAAUUUAUAUGAAAUGGUAUACAAUUGGAAGAAAGGAAAAGGAGACAUGCUAAAGGUAUUAGUUUAUGUGCAAUUUUACGCCAUUUUCCAACGUAUAGGUAUUAAGCGGUGUGGCAUUCCACUUUCCGCCACGAACCGCCGCACGUAUGAUGGAUUCAGCAGUAAAGUGGAGGAAAGAGAUCAACGAAUCAGAAGCGGAUUUACUUGAAAAAAUCUGGAACUGUGGGAUGCGGGAAUUCGAUCCUAUACUUCCAGGAUGUGUCUGCCGGAUUAGUUGCGUGGAAACUGUUUGCAUUCCACUCUGGAGGAUCCGGGUUUGAGUCUUGAGUUCCACCCCUUGAAAUUACUGAUUUUGGAAUCCGGGC
RNAcentral lists this long non-coding RNA (448 nucleotides) under Androctonus crassicauda. The record is from RNAcentral. Lineage: Eukaryota; Metazoa; Arthropoda; Arachnida; Scorpiones; Buthidae.